RNAcentral lists this microRNA (24 nucleotides) under Sorghum bicolor (sorghum). RNAcentral describes it as "sbi-miR6220-3p". Lineage: Eukaryota; Viridiplantae; Streptophyta; Magnoliopsida; Poales; Poaceae. The record is from miRBase by way of RNAcentral.
AUGCCUUAUAAUUUGGGAUGGAGA